Molecule: long non-coding RNA, 629 nt
Organism: Macrobrachium nipponense
Lineage: Eukaryota; Metazoa; Arthropoda; Malacostraca; Decapoda; Palaemonidae
Exons: 4
Source: RefSeq, a predicted model, not a curated record
CCCAAGAGAAGUCCUCAGUUACACAACUGGAAUCCUGUUCUCAAACAGGAAGAUGCCGGCAGCAGACGAGCCAUCACUAGUCUGAAAAUUACGAAGAUAGUACUGCAUCAGUGGAGGUCCUCACUCGUCCGAUAAGCUCUUAUACAACGCCCGUUACCUGGUAUCAAACCCUUCUAUGUUUGUUUUUUCUUCAAGGAACACUUAGUGCAGAGUUCGGGGCAAGAUUACCUGAAACUCCAUCUCAGUCUUACCUUCCACCUUCCUCCCAUAACACUCGAAAUAAUUUUGGGACUCCGUCCAUAAGAAACGAUAACACACCAAUAGAUAACGUAGCUACCCCAUCAGAUUCAGCAAAUGCCAGAGAAGUAACAGACACACAGACUGCCCGUGAAACGUUAGAGGACGGUCCUAGUUUUGGAGUCACUGGUACAAACACUGCAGAUAAUGACUUUAGGGAAAUAUCUAAUUUAAGUACCGAGUCACCACCCACUGAAUCAACAAAUGGCAAUUUUGACCCUCAAAGUAACAUUGUCAGAGAUAUUGGCCGAGAUGACAAUGCAGUGAUUGACAGCUCUGGGGAUGAGGGAACAGAAGAAAGAAGAAAUCAAAUAGAUGGUGGAAAAAACGAA